UACAGAGGGUGCAGGCGUUAAUCGGAAUUACUGGGCGUAAAGCGUGCGCAGGCGGUCUGUUAAGAGAGAUGUGAAAUCCCCGGGCUUAACCUGGGAACUGCGUUUCUAACUGGCAGGCUAGAGUGUGGCAGAGGGGGGUGGAAUUCCACGUGUAGCAGUGAAAUGCGUAGAGAUGUGGAGGAACACCGAUGGCGAAGGCAGCCCCCUGGGCUAACACUGACGCUCAUGCACGAAAGCGUGGGGAGCAAACAGG
This 253-nucleotide ribosomal RNA is filed under the name uncultured bacterium. RNAcentral describes it as "partial 16S ribosomal RNA". It matches the Rfam family "Bacterial small subunit ribosomal RNA", at positions 524 to 776 of the family's 1533-position model. The record is from RNAcentral.